CUAUCGGGACAACAGUGUAUGGUGUCAAUAUCACUCUUGUGGCUAACGGAACUCUUCAGACAUUAUAUUACAACCAGUCCGCGUAUCCCGUAGGAGAAAGCGGACAAAGAAGCAUUAUCCUCAUACGGACUGAAGAUUCAGAUAAUUCCUUUGUGGAGGUCUCAGUUAACGCUGACGCCAACCUAGCCCAGCAGGUCUGCAAGGAUGGCAAUAUUCGUUUUUAUUCUGGGGAUAACCCGACAAAUGAGCUGUAUUUGGGGUCUUUUUGUGGAUCGCCAACGAAGAAACAAACGCCGGUCUUUGU
Long non-coding RNA from Haliotis rubra (blacklip abalone), 304 nucleotides. RefSeq lists it as uncharacterized. The transcript is spliced from 4 exons. The record is from RefSeq and is a predicted model, not a curated record. Lineage: Eukaryota; Metazoa; Mollusca; Gastropoda; Lepetellida; Haliotidae.